This 823-nucleotide ribosomal RNA is filed under the name uncultured bacterium. RNAcentral's name for it is "bacterial SSU rRNA". It matches the Rfam family "Bacterial small subunit ribosomal RNA", at positions 71 to 874 of the family's 1533-position model. The record is from RNAcentral.
GUCUGGGGGCAACUCUGGGCGGUCAGCGGCGGACGGGUGAGUAACACGUGGGUAACCCACCUGGGGGCCUGGGAUAACGGCUCGAAAGGGCCGCUAAUACCGGAUACGCUCCUCGGGGCACAAGCCCGGGGGAGGAGAGGGGGCGGCAACGCUCUCGCCCGCAGACGGGCCCGCGGCCCAUUAGCUAGUUGGGGGGGUAAUGGCCCACCAAGGCGAUGAUGGGUAGCCGGUCUGAGAGGAUGGCCGGCCACACGGGGACUGAGACACGGCCCCGACUCCUACGGGAGGCAGCAGUGGGGAAUCUUCCGCAAUGGGCGCAAGCCUGACGGAGCAACGCCGCGUGGGGGACGAAGGCCUUCGGGUCGUAAACCCCUGUCAGUGGGAAAGAAGGGCGGCGGGGUGAACAGUCCCGGCGUCUGACGGUACCCGCAGAGGAAGCCACGGCCAACUCCGUGCCAGCAGCCGCGGUAAUACGGAGGUGGCGAGCGUUGUUCGGAAUUACUGGGCGUAAAGGGCGCGUAGGCGGGGGGAGAAGUCGGGUGUGAAAGCCCUCGGCUCAACCGAGGAACGGCGCUCGAGACUCUCUCUCUUGAGUCCCGGAGAGGACGAUGGAAUUCCCGGUGUAGCGGUGAAAUGUGUAGAGAUCGGGAGGAACACCGGUGGCGAAGGCGGUCGUCUGGACGGUGACUGACGCUGAGGCGCGAAAGCGUGGGGAGCAAACGGGAUUAGAUACCCCGGUAGUCCACGCGGUAAACGAUGGGGGCUAGGUGUGGGGGGUAUCGACCCCCUCCGUGCCGAAGCUAACGCAUUAAGCCCCCCGCCU